AUGAUGUGUGGGGUGAGGUCCGGCAGCACUCCCGCGUUGACGACGACGGGGCGGCCCCCUCUGUCGGAGCUAUGGUUGGCCUACGCAGCCAACACGGACGCGGCCUCGAUCUGGGGUACCUCCACAGCGGCCUCGAGUGUCGCAGUGUCCCGACGAAGCAGCUCUGACCGGGUGGAUUUGGAACUGCAGUCCACAUCGCACAGAGGCAUGCCCCACUUCCUCCUCUCCAUGCAGUCCACUGUCAAAGCCAAGGGACUUGUUGUCCCGGGGGCAUUAGGGGCAGCUGGCUUCAAAGAUUGGAGGGGGUUCGGUUAUCUCGGCGGUCAGCGACGAGGGAUCCGAGGCAGCCACCGCGCCACCAGCCCCGUGCAGCUCGGUUGUCAGGCCCGUGCAGCUCGGUUGCCACGGCCGGCCUCCAAAGCCUCCUCCCCAACCCCGACACUGGACGGCGCUGCCCCGCCAUCGCUUCACCGUGAUGUAGCUCCAUCGCGCGUUGUCAAGGCGAGGCUACUUCGCCACCCCUGGACUCGGAGGAUCUGGCCUGAUGCGGUUUCGUCAAGCGCCGCCAUGGAGGAUACAAGUCUCGGGUCCUUCUUCUUCCCGGGUCGCCACUGCUCCGACACCAUGGAAGGUCGUGAUGCGCGCCAUCCCUUCACCGUGAUGCACGCGAGAUACAUGCCCCAAGGGUCGUCUCUCCUUCCACCGACGACGGUUGCGGCAGUGCACUCGUCCCUCUCUCUUCCAGUGGAGUUUGGAGUUUGCUAUGUGUCAUUCUUCUGGUUGAAUUUUGCACUCGAUGCGGUCCGCUCUGACCGUUCCCGCAAUUUAGAUGGGAGCUUGAUGAGGUUCACAUUCAAAAUGCACUACUCGAUAGCGGUUCAGCAACUCAUCCCAUGCAGCUCGGUUUGCACAAGCGUGUGGUUUGUUUGA
This 930-nucleotide ribosomal RNA is filed under the name Triticum aestivum (bread wheat). Its description in RNAcentral is "partial small subunit ribosomal RNA". The record is from RNAcentral. Lineage: Eukaryota; Viridiplantae; Streptophyta; Magnoliopsida; Poales; Poaceae.